Molecule: ribosomal RNA, 253 nt
Filed under: uncultured bacterium
Lineage: Bacteria
Description: partial 16S ribosomal RNA
Rfam family: Bacterial small subunit ribosomal RNA
Source: RNAcentral
UACGAAGGGUGCAAGCGUUACUCGGAAUUACUGGGCGUAAAGCGUGCGUAGGUGGUUUGUUAAGUCUGAUGUGAAAGCCCUGGGCUCAACCUGGGAAUUGCAUUGGAUACUGGCAAGCUAGAGUGCGGUAGAGGAUGGCGGAAUUCCCGGUGUAGCAGUGAAAUGCGUAGAGAUCGGGAGGAACAUCUGUGGCGAAGGCGGCCAUCUGGACCAGCACUGACGCUGAGGCACGAAAGCGUGGGGAGCAAACAGG